This 478-nucleotide ribosomal RNA is filed under the name uncultured Gammaproteobacteria bacterium. RNAcentral describes it as "bacterial SSU rRNA". It matches the Rfam family "Bacterial small subunit ribosomal RNA", at positions 812 to 1290 of the family's 1533-position model. The record is from RNAcentral. Lineage: Bacteria; Pseudomonadati; Pseudomonadota; Gammaproteobacteria.
UCGACUUGGAGGUUGUGCCCUUGAGGCGUGGCUUCCGGAGCUAACGCGUUAAGUCGACCGCCUGGGGAGUACGGCCGCAAGGUUAAAACUCAAAUGAAUUGACGGGGGCCCGCACAAGCGGUGGAGCAUGUGGUUUAAUUCGAUGCAACGCGAAGAACCUUACCUGGUCUUGACAUCCACAGAACUUUCCAGAGAUGGAUUGGUGCCUUCGGGAACUGUGAGACAGGUGCUGCAUGGCUGUCGUCAGCUCGUGUUGUGAAAUGUUGGGUUAAGUCCCGCAACGAGCGCAACCCUUAUCCUUUGUUGCCAGCGGUCCGGCCGGGAACUCAAAGGAGACUGCCAGUGAUAAACUGGAGGAAGGUGGGGAUGACGUCAAGUCAUCAUGGCCCUUACGACCAGGGCUACACACGUGCUACAAUGGCGCAUACAAAGAGAAGCAAUCUCGCGAGAGCUAGCGGACCUCAUAAAGUGCGUCGUA